GUACUCCAGGAAUUAAGCUUGCACCUGAGCAGUCUGUGUAGGACACACGCUCUGGUCUGGACCAAGACACCGUUUUUGCUUCUCUUGGUUCUGCCUCAGAACUGCCUCCCUCCCCAGUCCCUAGAUUCAAACUCUGCAAUUGUGCGGGUAGUGGAGCACUGGUUGCAGCAUACGGACAUGUCCUCAGCGCUGCGUUAAGCUAAACUSUAUGUUGAGGCUUGGAAUCCAGUUUUUGUCCUGCAGAGUUUAUCCCACACAUCAGCAGGCACCAUGGCUAACUGAGGUGAAUGCUUGACAUGACUGAUGGAAGGAGAAAACAGAUGUGACCAACUGAAAAUCCCACUUCCCCCGGAGGAAGAAAGAGGCUAACACAUUGAUGCUGGAGUCUGAUGGAUCUGUCUGCCUGACCUGAGCAGCAGAGAAAUAACCAAAGGUUAUCUUGGCUGAGUGAUGUGACUCACCAAGAACAGAGAUGUCAUCUCGCUGGAAGGUUUCUUGCAUGAAUACAGCAACUCUGUCAGUCCUGCUGAGCUGGCUACUGAGAUGAUCUAAGAAGAAAAGAAAACCCAGAACCAUUU
Long non-coding RNA from Nothoprocta perdicaria, 578 nucleotides. RefSeq lists it as uncharacterized. NCBI's taxonomy places the organism in Eukaryota, Metazoa, Chordata, Aves, Tinamiformes, Tinamidae. The record is from RefSeq and is a predicted model, not a curated record. The transcript is spliced from 2 exons.